UCUAUUUUUUUUUUAUUAUCAGAUUAGCAAACUGAGGUUCAGAAAGAUAAAAUAAGGUUACCUUAUGGGCAAGCGGUUUAGCAUUUAAGCUGAGAACCUAGUGGUCUUUAAGAUAAGUCCCUGAUUUUACCAACCUGCGAGUCUACCUUCCUUAAGUGUGGGAGGAAUUUCUGUAGUUUUGACAAAGAGAUAUAUAAAGGAAGAACAAGAAAAUGGCAGAGUAAGAAAGAAGAUUACAAGGUAUACACCAUUUGCAUUUAUCUUACUUUUUCAUUUUUAAGGACAAUGAAGUUAAACUAAGGAGUAGAGCUGUAUAGACAGACAAUGUUUUGUGAUGGCAAUAGAAAGCAGACAUCACACAACUUUAUUUGUAACCCAUUUGUAAGAAUAAAGGAGAUCAUAAACUGUUUGAAAUAUCAAAACAUUUAAUGAAAAAUAUUUCAUUAAAUGAAACAUUUAAAAAGAGCAAAAUAAAGUAAAAAUAGAAUCAUAAGACUUUCACUAUUAAGAAUAUUAGGUUUUUUAACUAGUGACUUAGAAAAUUUAAAAGUGCAGGAACAUUUGAAUUUUAUUGAUAUAUCCACCAUGGAGCAUUUCUUGAUAGGAUUCACAUGGGAUGAACUGUUCAAUGCGGAAAAAAAAAAUCAAAUGAGAGAUUAAUGAUACCUUCUUAGCGAGCCAUGAAUGUCCAAUGUCUAUUGUGUCUUAAUGGAAAACAACAACAACAACACAGAUUUACCCGUCUCUACAAAUGCAAUGAGAUAUUACUAUGCAGGUUGGGCUUAAACUCAGACUCCAGCUCAAAUUCAGAUGGUGCUUCUAUGUUACUAACCUUGAGCAGGUUAGUUUCUUUCUAUGAAUCUCAAUUUUCUUGACUUUUAAAACAGUAAUUAACCAGGAUAAAAUUUUAAGAGUCCAGCACAGGGCCUGUUAUAAAUUAAACUUCAGUACAAUGAGUCUACUUGUGCAUUCAUGUGUGACACCAUGUAAUGAGCUCUUGAGAGCAUAGUUCCUUCCCCAAGUAAAACGAAAUGUAGAGGAAGAGGCAUACGGUAACUCAGUCAUUACAUGGAGGGGGAAGCAUUCUAUAAAGGGAUAAGUGAAUUAUGCUAUCAGAACACUCAGGAGUGCCCCUGAGCUCCGUCUGAGGUGUCAGUAAGAGUUCUAGGCAGAGGCACUGUGCAAAUGGAUAAAGGAUUAAUACAUAUUAUUUAGUCAGAAGUCAGGAAAGCAUACCAGAUAAUAUUUCCAAUGUCAAGACACACUGUGGUAGUUCAGUGGAGGCAGUUUAUAGAUAGACAUGUUGAAGCUGAGAGAUGUGGAGGCCAGAAGUAAAACAAAAGUCAGAUUUGGAAGUUUAGUUCCCUUCCAUCAACAAGACCAAGCAAAUUUAAUGCUAACCAAAAUAGAAUCAAACUUAUCAUCCUUUGUCUUCAGAAAGAGGUAAGAAAGAAUAGGCAUCAAAAUAGUUAAAGGUGUAUAGGAUUAAGAGAUACAAACUACUGUUUAUGAAAUAAAUAUAUAAGCAACAAGGAUAUAUUGUAUAGUACAGGGUAAACUAGUCAUUAUUUUGUAUUAGUUUUAAAUGGAGGAUAAUCUAUAAAAAUAUUGAAUCACUAUGUUGUACACCUGGAACUAAUAUAACAUUAUAAAUCAACUAUACUUAAAUAAAAAGUAAACCAUUUCAUCUAUUCAACAAACUUAUAUUGAGUGCUUAUUAUAUAAAAUGACCUGAUAAGUGCUGAGAAUGCAAAAGAAAGAACGAACGAACUAGACAGGUGGCUGCUUUUGCAUUGAAAUAUAUCAUGAAAGUCCUGCUGAUACACACAUUAACUCUUGGACAGUGCUAAGGGUAAGAGUUCCAGGGAAGAGGCCAAGGUAGACAGUGAGUGGGGAUGGACAUUUAUAAGGCUAUUUCCAACUGGAAUGGAUGGUUUUCAAUAUUUAACAGAAAGCAUGGUCACCUCCUGGGCACUCACUGAAAAUGAGGCCUGGACAUAGGUUAAAUUUCUGGUAAAUCACAUCAAGACUUAAUUGAUUUUUGCUCUGAAUUUCUUUGGGGUAAUUUAAUUUCCUCACUCCCAGUGUGAGUUUAUGUAUAUGUGAUAUGUGCAUAGAUGUGUUUGUGUGUAUAUGUCUUCCACAGAACUUAUUUUCAACUAUCCACAAGUGGGUCAUGUGUUCACACAAUAUAUAUUAUAUGAUGGAAUUAAAUGUUCAACAGUUCAGUGAUUCUGGUACUGUAUUCUGGCAUCAUAUCUGCUACCACGUUAUUAAUCUAAAAUAUAUCACCCUUCAGAGAUAAUAACAUACUGUGAUUUUGACAUAUUCUAAGCUCUUUCACUCUUUUAAAUUCACAUAACUGCAUGGAGAGGUGGACAGUGUAGAAGUUAAUAAUUUAUAAAUUACUUUCAAGUGAGUUUCUUUUUGCUAUAUUGCCAUUAUGAAAAAAUGAACAGGUAUUAUCAUUACUUCAACUUUAAAUAGGAAAAAAUUGAGAAGUAGAGAGAUAUAAUAUCUUAUUGAAACUUAAGUUAAAUUCAAUAUUUCUGUAUUGAAAAAUGGAUAUUAACUUAUUUGAACAUUUAAUUUUAGAAUUAAAAUGCUUUCAUUUGAAUUAAAAAUGGUUAAGAACUUUCAUUCCAAUUUUUAUGGUAAAGGUUUGGAAAUUACUAUCUCCUGGUGCGGGUAAAACAUACAAGCAACAGAAUAAAAUUCUCAUCCUUUCAAAAGCUUCUUUUUAGUUGACAAUUUUCUAUGGAAUUACUGAUAAUUAUAUUUUAGCUCUGGACUCUAUAACUAAAAUGUGUCUAUUUAAUUUUGAAACUAGAAUUCACAAAGUACCUCUGGCAUUAGAGAAAAAAAAAAGUCUAGUUUUCUAAAUGAGAAACAGAGAAAAGAUACACUUAUUUUUAGCAAAUAUAGGUCCAAAAUACUAGUACUAUUUCUAAGAAUGACUAAUGAUUUUGCAAAUACCUAACUACAAUCGUCUUUUUUUUUUUUUUUUUUGCUUUUUUGGGCUGCUACAGCUGCCAGUCUACACCACAGCCACAGCAACACUGGAUCCUUAACCCACUGAGUGAGGCCAGGGAUUGAACCCAUGUCCUCAUGGAUACUAGUCAGGAUUGUCACCACUGAGCCAUAAUUAUUACAUAGAAAUUCCAACAUUUUACACAUUCUGAUUAAGUUUCAGCAAGUGCAAAUGACUUUUAUUUUUUAAGGAAAAUAUACAAGUGCCUUUCAUGUGUAAGGCACUGGACCAACUGCCCUGAGGGUAAAUAAAACCUGCUUUUGUUCUUCAAGGAGAUGUGAAGAGAUGUUGCACAUGCAUCAAAAAUAAACUUUAUCCAAAAAUGCUAAGUGAUUACAAUUACCAGAAGAAACAAAUUCUAUGAAAGGUAAGGAUAAGAAUGUAAUGGCACCUUUAUCUGAAGCACGUCAAGUUUCAUGGAGAAAUAUUUUGUAAAAUGAAAUGUUGCAUAAAAUAUCUAAGGUUAUUCAGUAAACUGUAGUAUAAAAUUACAAGUACUUCUAUUUCCAAAAUGAUGAAAUAGAUGGACUUUUUCUCUAUUUUUCCAACUUAAAGUUUCUGGUAGUUAUAUAUAAAACAAACACACAAAGACUUUGAAAGAUGGUUAGCAAAGUAGAUGGGUUAGUAAACCUGGAACUCAAGGAAGUAAAUGCUGGUGAAGACUUUGGUUUUCUUUUUAUCUUAUGUAUCUCAGGCUUGGAAUUGUAAAAACCACAACUCGGAAACUUUGGAAGAACAAAGGAAAUAAGAGUUUCAACAAAAACUUAAUGUCUCUAGCCAAAGGAUGUGAAAAGGGACAGCUUGACAAGACGAAAAAAAAUAUAUAUAUAUAAAAUUAUCUCUCAACUGCAGUCGAGCACAGCAGAAAAACAAAAUGAAAAGAAAAAACAACAAUGGUCACCCCUUAACUCUCGCCAGUAAGACUUGUGAGUAGUCCAACCUCCAUCCUUGCCAGACUAUACUGAAGUAGUCCAAACCCUGCAACAUGAUGGUAUCAUAGAAGGAUGCUUAUCCCUAGUGGGUCAUGGCAACCUCUCCUCAACAUGUCAAUGGAGACUGUGGGGAAGCUGGACUUAAACCCCGCCAAACAGUAAUGAAGUGCUUUUCUCACUCCCACCUGUGGUGCUGUCGCAUGUGGCCUAGUUGGGAUUCAAGAGUUUCACUGCUGUCCAGAGGUAAAAAUGCCAUACACACCCCACCUCUCAAGUGAUGUCAGUGCAGGCCAUAUAGAUAGUGAAGACUCCCACACGUGUCCAGCAGUAAUGAGACAGUGAAGACUCCCAAACCUGUCCAGCAGUAAUGAGAAAUGCCCUUCUUCCCUAGGUUGUCAAAGGAGGAUUAGUGAGGAACUAGUACUUCCACUACGUGACAGUAACAACGCAUUGUCCUAUUAUGUUACCAGAGUGGUAUCAAAGGAAGCCAGCUAAAAGAGAUGGUUUAAAUAAGACUCAGAGUCUCAUAAUAUAAUACACAAAUUGUCUAGGUUUUUAAAAAAUCACUUAUCAUAGCAAGAAUCAUGAAAAUUUCAACUUAAAUGAAAAAGACAAUAAAAAUCAACAUUGAGAUAACAGAGAAGGUAAAAGUAUCUGACAAUGAUUUUCAAGAAGCCAUCAUUAAAUGCUUCAUUGGGUAAUUAUAAACAUACUUGAAGCAAAUGAAAACAUAGGAAGUCUCAGCAAAGACAUCAAAAAUAAAAAGAUAUUAUACAGGAAAACUAAAUAGAGUUUCAUAACUAAAAAUUACAGCAUCCAAAAUAAAAAUCACAGUGGAUGAGCUCAGAUGGAGAAUAAAGAGAACAGAGGAAACAAAUCAUCAAACAUGAAGAUAGGAUGAUAGUAAUUGCCCUAUGUAAAUAAAAGAGAAAAUAGACUGAAAAAAUAUCAUCAGAGCUUUAGGAACCUUUUAAACCCUGA
Sus scrofa (pig) is the source of this 4944-nucleotide non-coding RNA. The record is from RefSeq and is a predicted model, not a curated record. Lineage: Eukaryota; Metazoa; Chordata; Mammalia; Artiodactyla; Suidae.